Lepisosteus oculatus (spotted gar) is the source of this 208-nucleotide non-coding RNA. NCBI's taxonomy places the organism in Eukaryota, Metazoa, Chordata, Actinopteri, Semionotiformes, Lepisosteidae. The record is from RefSeq and is a predicted model, not a curated record.
AAGGUGUAAUGGUGUCUGGUGUCUUUUCCCUCUGGUAGAGAUUGAUGCUGACAUGCACAUGGAUAAAGGUUAUCGAAAGCGAGGACUGGAUGAGAGCAGCUCUUUGAGCACAAUGAACGCUCCAGACAAGAAAGGAGGUUACUGCAUCAAUUAUUACUGGGGCUAUUCCUGUACCCGCAGAAUUAGAUGCUAUCGGAGAUGUAAGUAU